CAGGGAUGGUGGCAAGAGCCUGGGGCAGAGACGGCAGAGCAGCGGGCCCAGAGGACGCAAGAAAGACCAACAGCCUACAGGCCCGGGUGGCACAGAUUACAGCCCAGGUGAACAAGGAGGCUUGCUGGCCCUAAUCUUGUGGGCUGCGUCCCGCGGGCUGGUGUUGGCGGGCAUCCUGCAGUCUUAUAUUUCAGGCUCCACGGCCUCAGAUCCAUCAACUAUCUCUCACGCAACAGGAUUCUUCUACCACUGUCCUUAUGGAAUUUGCCAUUGGCCGUCUGAUUAAAAUGUGCUCUUGAAAAUGAAACAUA
This is a long non-coding RNA of Mustela lutreola (European mink), 311 nucleotides long. RefSeq lists it as uncharacterized. Lineage: Eukaryota; Metazoa; Chordata; Mammalia; Carnivora; Mustelidae. The transcript has 3 exons. The record is from RefSeq and is a predicted model, not a curated record.